GGGCACGUGGCGCAACGGUUAGCGCAUCUGAUUCCAGCGUUGUGUUCUUCGCUUCCAGAAGGUUAUCCGUUCAAAUCGGGUCGAGCUCA
Molecule: transfer RNA, 89 nt
Filed under: Ephemerocybe angulata
Lineage: Eukaryota; Fungi; Basidiomycota; Agaricomycetes; Agaricales; Psathyrellaceae
Description: Coprinellus angulatus tRNA-Trp
Source: RNAcentral